GUUGCUGCUGGUGUAAGUAGCCCGGUUUGGAGUUACCCAAGUUCGAGUUAGGGCCUAGUUACCCAAUUACCAUCAAUGGAAGAGAACAGUCCAACACACAAGAGCAGUAGGCCUUAGAUGCACAGUUCCCAGGAUCACCAAUCUUCCAUCCAGAUAUAGAUUGAGGCGUCCUUGCCAGUCCUUGCCAAAACUGCAUGUUUU
Molecule: non-coding RNA, 201 nt
Organism: Pelobates cultripes (western spadefoot toad)
Lineage: Eukaryota; Metazoa; Chordata; Amphibia; Anura; Pelobatidae
Source: the annotation of a GenBank genome assembly